UGGAUCUCAAAUCAGACAAGGCGACCCGCUGAACU
Molecule: ribosomal RNA, 35 nt
Filed under: Gracilaria babae
Lineage: Eukaryota; Rhodophyta; Florideophyceae; Gracilariales; Gracilariaceae
Description: partial 28S ribosomal RNA
Source: RNAcentral